This is a long non-coding RNA of Mytilus californianus (California mussel), 2940 nucleotides long. RefSeq lists it as uncharacterized. The record is from RefSeq and is a predicted model, not a curated record. The transcript is spliced from 2 exons. NCBI's taxonomy places the organism in Eukaryota, Metazoa, Mollusca, Bivalvia, Mytilida, Mytilidae.
ACAUUAUAGUGUUCACCACACAAUUGAAUUUAAAAGUUCACAAUUUCCAAACUUUUUAUUAUAUAUAUUAUUUAGAGAUAUAUGAUAUGGAUGAAAUUUGUCUGUUUAUUUUCCAUCUAAAAAGAAAUUUGCACAAAAUAAGAAAACAAAGUACUAUUAUUUACUAACAAUACAGACUGUUAAUUCACAUUUAUAAAAUUUUGACAUUAUUAAUGUAAAUCUUCUACAUCUUUCUUGCUGACUUUGCAGCAAUUUUGUUUUGUGAUCUCAGUUUCAGCUCACCUGGCCCAAAGGGCCAAGUGAGCUUUUCUCAUCACUUGGCGUCUGUAGUCGUUGUCCGUCGUCGUUAACUUUUUACAUUUUGAACUUCUUCUAGCGAACCACUGAAUGGAAUGAAACCAAACAUGGCAUGAAUGUUCCUUAUGAGGUGCUGACCAAGUGUUGCUAUUUGAAGCCGAUUCAUAAUCGAAGAUGGCCGCCAGCGGGGGACUUAAAUUAAUAUAGGACCCUAUGGGAAAUAUUUACAAAUGUCUUCUUUUAGAGAACCACUGAAUGUAAUGAAACCAAACAUGGAUGUUCCUUAUGAGGUGCUGACCAAGUGUUGUUACUUUGAAGCCGAGCCAUAAUCCAAGAUGGCCGCCAGCAGCGGACUUACUUUAACAUAGGACCCUUUGGGAAAUACAUACAAAUGUUUUCUUUUAGAGAACCACUGAAUGGAAUGAAACCAAACAUGGUAUGAAUGUUCCUUAUGAGGUGCUGACCAAGUGUUGUUACUUUGAAGCUGAUCCAUAAUCCAAGAUGGCCGCCAGCGGGGGACUUAGUUUAACAUAGGACCCUUUGGGAAAUACAUACAAAUGUUUUCUUUUAGAGAACCACUGAAUGGAAUGAAACCAAACAUGACAUGAAUGUUCCUUAUGAGGUGCUGACCAAGUGUUGUUACUUUGAAGCCGAUCCAUCAUCCAAGAUGGCCGCCAGCUUGGGACAAUGUUUAACAAAGGACCCUAUGGACAAUACAUACAAAUGUCUUCUUUUAGAGAACCACUGAAUGGAUUGAAACCAAACAUAGCAUGAAUGUUCCUUAUGAGGUGCUGACUAAGUGUUGUUACUUUGAAGCUAAUCCUUCAUUCACGAUGGCUGCCAGCAGGAGGACUUCCUUUAGCAUAAGACCCUAUGGGAAAUACAUACAAAUGUCUUCUUUUAGAGAACCACUGAAUGGAAUGAAACUAAACAUGGCAUGAAUGUUCCUUAUGAGGUGCUGACCAAGUGUUGUUACUUUGAAGUCGAUCCAUCAUUAAAGAUGGCCGCCAGCGGGGGACUUAGUUUAACAUAGGACCCUAUGGGAAAUACAUACAAAUGUCUUCUUUUAGAGAACCAUUGAAUGGAAUGAAACCAAACAUGGCAUAAAUGUUUCUUAUGAGGAGCUGAUGAAGUGUUGCUACUUUGUUGCCGAUUUACUGUUCAAGAUGGCCACCGGGAAUUUUUAUUAAACUACAGGGCCAAUAUUAAACCAAAUUUGGCCUCACUCAUUAUUAGGGUAUCUGUUGUGAUUUUAAUCUAUUCCAAAACAAAAGUAGAAUCAGGUGAGCGACACAGGCUCUUGAGAGCCUCUAGUUAUGAUAUAUUUAUAUAAUGGAAGAUCCAAGAUUCACAAUUAGGAACAAACAAAAUCUGUGUUAUUUUCUACUUGCGAAAAUAUGUGUUAGUUUCUACUUGCGAAAAUAAAUAAAAAAUUAGUUGGUUUCUGUUGUGGUAGAAUAAUUACUAUUAGUUUUAAUUAUGCAAAUUUCAUCCUGUCAAAAUUUUACUUGAAUAAAAACAUUGUUGUUUUUUUCAAUGCUUAAAAUGUUAUUUAGCUCGAAAAAUAUUUCAAAUGCCAAAUGGUUAAUAGUUUGACCAUAAGAUCACAACUUUAAAAUUAGCAUAGAUAAUGUAUGUAACAUGCUAUAAACAUAGCAGAUCUGUGUUCCUAUAGACAGAAGAUCAGAAAAAAAUGUCACACACUUUCAGUAUUUUAAGAGUGGUUGUUUAAUUUGGCCACGAAUUACUUUGCAUUUUUUGCUCACCUGGCCCAUAGGUCUUGUCUUCUAUUGUUUUUUCCCAAAACAAAAGGAUCAAAAACUGUCAUUUAAGGGCACAAAAAGAGUUGACCAACAAUUUCAGCAAUAUGAACUUGUUUAAAGAUUUUGCCUUGUGGAUCAUUUUUCUAUUUAAAGCUUUUCUGUAUCUAUAUUAUAGUUUCAAGAUACUAGGCAAAAAAAGAUAAAAAAAAAUAAAAAUCAUCAUUAAAGAGCAACAACUCCAGUAAGAAGUAAACUGAUGAUUUCGGCCUUGAUGACAUAUUUCAAGGUCUUGUUUUGCUGAUUAUUUUUGCCAAUUAAAAUAUCUAUUUGUCUAUUAUAGUUUUAAGGAUAAUAGGCAAACAUGCAAAAAAUUAAAAUUUGUCAUUAAAGGGUAAUAACUCCUUAUAAUAAUUCGUCUGACAGUUUUGAUGUAAAUAGACAGUAGAUAGAUAUCAACAUUCUAAACUUUUAGGACAAUGUCAGAUUUUCUUGAUCUGUAGUGGUUGAUAAUUUGCCUGUGUUCUAUUUUUACCAAUGUUGGCAAUGUUUGUUGGCAGAUUUGGUCAUUGCACACACUUGUUAAACUAUACUCACCAAUGAUUGUGGCCAUGUUUGGUUAAUUUUGGGCCAGGUGAGCUAAAAAAAACUUAUGAUGUGGAAAUGACCAAGAUUGUUUCAAAGCUAUGUUACAUAUAUCAAUUGCAAGACAAAACAACUUCUUACCAGGUUGCAAUUAUUUGUUAUAUACAAGUAUAAACUAAAAUGCGAGUUCUUGUUUUUUAGGUUUGAAAGUUGAAUAGUGUCUUUUCGAGAAAGAUUUGAUAAUUAUUACUUAAUGAUUGUGCCAAAUUAAAUUAUUAAAUACAGAAAAUCAGUUCAA